ACUUAGGAAAGAUUCUUCGGAUGAUUUUCUAUUUGACUGAGCGGCGGACGGGUGAGUAACGCGUGGGUAACCUGCCUCAUACAGGGGGAUAACAGUUAGAAAUGACUGCUAAUACCGCAUAAGACCACAGCACCGCAUGGUCCGGUGUGAAAAACUCCGGUGGUGUGAGAUGGACCCGCGUUUGAUUAGCUAGUUGGUGGGGUAACGGCCUACCAAGGCGACGAUCAAUAGCCGACCUGAGAGGGUGACCGGCCACAUUGGAACUGAGACACGGUCCAAACUCC
This 284-nucleotide ribosomal RNA is filed under the name uncultured Lachnospiraceae bacterium. RNAcentral describes it as "partial 16S ribosomal RNA". The stretch from base 46 to 284 matches the Rfam family "Bacterial small subunit ribosomal RNA", at positions 100 to 339 of the family's 1533-position model. The record is from RNAcentral. Lineage: Bacteria; Bacillati; Bacillota; Clostridia; Lachnospirales; Lachnospiraceae.